GUGAAAUCAUACUGUAACUUGUCUUCUUGACUAUAUAUGUCCUCAUCAUCAUCUUCAAACGCCCCAACACCAAAAGCCUGGAAAAGAAAGUUGUGAUUAGUUUCAAGUUCCAACCUUUAAACUCACAAGACCGAGAGGACUUGAAUGCAGAUGGUGUCCAUCCUUCAAGUGAUCCCACUGAAUUGAAAAAUCCGGCUGAAAAUCCUCCAGUGAAAGCUCCAUGAAAUCUGCGUCUACCAUGCUUAUCUGUGGCAACUUGAUCCUUCAGUGAGAAUGGUUUCUUCCUUGGAAAUGCAUCUAUAAUUAAAAGACAAGUAGCAUGGUAUUUAUUACUCUUCAGUCACUUAUGGUGAAGAUGUACAGCUAACUUUUACUAUCUCAUAUUCACUUACAGAAUUGUAAAGACAUUUAUAAUGAAAAAAUCUGCAUCUGAGAGAAAGAAUUAAAUAUGAAAUGGAAAAUAUUA
This is a non-coding RNA of Zootermopsis nevadensis, 466 nucleotides long. The record is from RefSeq and is a predicted model, not a curated record. NCBI's taxonomy places the organism in Eukaryota, Metazoa, Arthropoda, Insecta, Blattodea, Termopsidae.